AGUGAACGCUGGCGGUAGGCCUAACACAUGCAAGUCGAACGGCAGCACAGUAAGAGCUUGCUCUUACGGGUGGCGAGUGGCGGACGGGUGAGGAAUACAUCGGAAUCUACUUUUUCGUGGGGGAUAACGUAGGGAAACUUACGCUAAUACCGCAUACGACCUACGGGUGAAAGCAGGGGAUCUUCGGACCUUGCGCGAUUGAAUGAGCCGAUGUCGGAUUAGCUAGUUGGCGGGGUAAAGGCCCACCAAGGCGACGAUCCGUAGCUGGUCUGAGAGGAUGAUCAGCCACACUGGAGCUGAACCACGGUCCAGGCUCCUACGAGAGGCAGCAGUGGGGAGUAUUGGACAAUGGGCGCAAGCCUGAUCCAGCCAUACCGCGUGGGUGAAGAAGGCCUUCGGGUUGUAAAGCCCUUUUGUUGGGAAAGAAAAGCAGCAGGUUAAUACCCCGCUGUUCUGACGGUACCCAAAGAAUAAGCACCGGCUAACUUCGUG
RNAcentral lists this ribosomal RNA (492 nucleotides) under uncultured bacterium. RNAcentral's name for it is "partial 16S ribosomal RNA". It matches the Rfam family "Bacterial small subunit ribosomal RNA", at positions 29 to 507 of the family's 1533-position model. The record is from RNAcentral.